This 260-nucleotide ribosomal RNA is filed under the name uncultured archaeon. RNAcentral's name for it is "partial 16S ribosomal RNA". It matches the Rfam family "Archaeal small subunit ribosomal RNA", at positions 748 to 1008 of the family's 1478-position model. The record is from RNAcentral.
UAGGCGUAAAUGAUGCGAGUUAAGUGUGGGGGCAUCUACGAGAUGGCCCUGUGCUGUAGGGUAGCCGUUAAACUCGCUGCCUGGGAGUACGGUCGCAAGGCUGAAACUUAAAGGAAUUGGCGGGGGAGCACAACAACGGGUGGAGCCUGCGGUUUAAUCGGACUCAACGCCGGACAACUCACCGGGGACGACAGCAAUAUGUAGGCCAGGCUGAAGACCUUGCCUGAAUCGCUGAGAGGUGGUGCAUGGCGUCAGUGACU